CAACCCUCAAGCCCCCGCUUGGUGUUGGGUGCCGGCGCCGGCGCCUGCGAGUUCUCUCGCAGCAGCGCCCGCCGCCCCCGAAAUUGAUUGGCGGUCUCGUCGCGACCUCCCUUGCGUAGUAACAUACCACCUCGCAUGGCGGAGCGCGGCGCGGCCACGCCGUAAAACAACCCAAUUUCUCAAG
This 184-nucleotide unclassified non-coding RNA is filed under the name uncultured Pochonia. RNAcentral describes it as "sequence contains ITS2". Lineage: Eukaryota; Fungi; Ascomycota; Sordariomycetes; Hypocreales; Clavicipitaceae. The record is from RNAcentral.